GCAAGUCGAACGGAGAUAUUUGAGUUUACUUAGAUAUCUAGUGGUCGGACGGGUGAGUAACAACGUGAGCAACCUGCCUCUGAGAGAGGGAGUAGCUUCUGGAAACGGAUGGUAAUACCUCAUAACAUAUACUUUAGACAUCUUUAGUAUAUCAAAGAUUUAUCGCUCAGAGAUGGGCUCGCGUCUGAUUAGCUUGUUGGCGGGGUAACGGCCCACCAAGGCGACGAUGGGUAGCCGAUUUGAGAGGAUGAUCGGCCACAUUGGAACUGAAACACGGUCCAAACUCCUACGGGAGGCAGCAGUGGGGAAUAUUGCGCAAUGGGCGAAAGCCUGACGCAGCGACGCCGCGUGAGGGAUGAAGGUCUUUCCGGAUCGUAAACCUCUGUCGGAAGGGAAAAAAGGUGCAGGGUGCCAAUCAGCCCUGCAUUGAUGGUACCUUCAGAGGAAGCACCGGCUAACUCCGUGCCAGCAGCAGC
This 476-nucleotide ribosomal RNA is filed under the name uncultured bacterium. Its description in RNAcentral is "bacterial SSU rRNA". It matches the Rfam family "Bacterial small subunit ribosomal RNA", at positions 57 to 518 of the family's 1533-position model. The record is from RNAcentral.